Long non-coding RNA from Phacochoerus africanus (Common warthog), 2554 nucleotides. RefSeq lists it as uncharacterized. The transcript is spliced from 2 exons. NCBI's taxonomy places the organism in Eukaryota, Metazoa, Chordata, Mammalia, Artiodactyla, Suidae. The record is from RefSeq and is a predicted model, not a curated record.
GUCAGAGCAGACCCAACGGCACCAAGCGAGCAGCGUGACCGGCCGUGGCUCCCAGGCUGGAUAAACAACCCUGAUUAAGAGGGACUUGACAUGAAGUAAAGGGAGGUUUCCAGGCUCCGCUGAUCAAAGCCCAGCUCCAGUGCUUGAGAUAACUUAGGUAAAACUGCCCUCAGAUAACCAUCUCUUCAGUUUUAACCUCUCUGUAAUGAAAGCAUGUGCUGCCUGAAAUUUUUCAACUCCUGAAUUCAUCUCUGGAGAAUUUGUGAUUCUCAUGUUGCAGGAAAAGUCAGGCAAAUUUGAUGAGUCGUUCUUUCUCUUAACUAUUGAACCUUUGUGAGGCCAGCAUCGUACUUUCUAGCCUCGUGAUGUCGUUGGUAAGUGACAUUCAAGAAAUGAAAUAAGAGCUCCAGUCAAUGCUUGUUCAAGAAGAGCACAGGAGUUGCUCCAUCAUGGAUCAACCAUGGAAAAAAAAUGGACCCCAAGGGUAAUAAUACAGAAAUACUAGUGUUAAAGAGACAGAGAAAGGGUGCUUGUGAGAAGAAUACGACACAGCCCACCUUCGAAGGCUUGAAGGUUCCUUAUGUUAAUCUCCACUUGAGGUGUCUUACCAAGCCAAGCUAAGAGUGCUACUCAGCCGGGAUGAAUGAAGAAUAAUGCAUUUGGAAAAGAAUAACACCAAGGAGCCAAUAAGGAAGAUAACUUCAGACAGCUGUGGUGACAAAAACUGCAAAGGAGAGGUGCCGGUGAAUAACAAAUGCAGCGAAAUGGCAGGGGACCGGGUAUGUACACAGCACUGCAGGUGAAUGUGUCUCCUCAGGGGCAGGAACUGAAUACCAAAGUCACUGGAAGCCUGUCCCUGGUCUGCUCUGGAAAACUCUUCCCACUCUGUGAGAUUUAUGCUUAUUUCUCAGACUUUCUCACUUUUAAAAAGUUCUAACCUCUUUUGUUUAAAUGCAUACUUUGGUGUCACGUCUUUUCUCUUAUGAAGGAUAAAUGUUUUUGAACACUAAGCCUUUCCUAAAUAAGAUUUCCUAGGGAAGGCACUGAUGACUCUCGUUUGGAAAAUCCUCCUUUAUAAUUCAUUGGUUUCAAAGCAAGUACAGUGAAGCAUGGCUUGGAUCAAAAAAGCACCAUCACUAGAACUGAAAACGGUUGUAUUUCUGUGAAAACCCAAAGAGCAAAUGAAGAUAUGCAAAUGAGAAAAAAAGAGAUUUUUACCCAAAGGAUGUUUGCUAGUUUAUUGCCAGAGGCUAAUAAACACUUGCUUUGAAGUUCACUUAGAAUGACCUAAAAAAAACUUUUCCGGGAGUGAGGCGGGGGCACAGCAUGUGGAAGUGUCUUGGGCCAGGGAUGGAACUCAUGCCACAGCAGUGACAAUACCAUAUCUUUAACGGCUAGGCCACCAGGCCACUCCAAAAAAACUCUAAGCUUAGAUUAAGCCCAGUGAGUUCUGAUCACCAGAACAUUACAAUGGUUCAUACCUUGGUAGUGGCUAGUAUUUGCUAGUUGCUAUAUAAAGUUAACCAAAAAAAAUCAGCCCAUAAGGACAAUGUGGUAUAAACAAAUGGACAGAGAGAAAGCCUCCAUUUUUAUUAGAACAUUGAUAGAAUAAAUACUGAUGCAAAUAUCAGAAGCUCCCUUUUCUUUCUUUAUUAGAUUAAUAAGCAUUUAUUAACGCCACAGUAUUGAAUCAGGCAGAGUGCCUUCCACUCCUGCCUUAUGAGAUGGGCUGCUAGUGGGUCUGGGGGGCAGGUGAUGGACAUUAUCUAAGGGGCAGAUAUUUAAAAAAGAGGAAUUAAGACACCCACCCAACAGGAAGUAGAACAAAAAGAAAACACCCUCCAAUGUAAAAUGUUUUAAAAAUUUAGGAAUCCUUGAGGCUUUUGAAUGUUAGAAGGAACACCAUAGAAAUAAUCUUGUGGCCUUGUUUAAAUAAAAAGCAUUGUUGGGCAGAGCCUUGCCCUUUGCAAAAGUCCUACAGUAAGAGAACUGAAUCUAAUCAAAAUGGAUAGGUCAGUUAAAUUAAGGCAAGGCUGACAGAAAAUGGUUUUAAUUAUUCUUCAGAGGUGCUAUUCUGCAGGCACCUGGCCCAGAAAAUGCAAACACAAAAAUAGGAUGCAAAUGGCUCCCCAGUGUACUCGUACGUCUUAAAGCAAUGUUAUGGGAUUUUAGUCUUGUUUUUAAAUUUGCUACUUGUCCUCAAAAGCCAUCAUGCUUUUCACAACUCUCUUAAGGCUGAGCUGCUGAAGCUUCUUCAACUUUAUGCUGGGCUGUCUACAUUUGGCUAAGUACAUUUUUUAAAAUUUUGUGACUCUGCCAUCAACGUAAACUCUGAAGUUCAAUGUCAACUGGAAUAGUACAACUCUCAGUGGGAUCCGUGAAAAUGAAAGUGCAAAUGGGAACUGGAGGUGUGGUUUCUAAUGAGUUAGAAAGAAAAGAUGAGUAAUGUAACUUCUUCCAGGGUCAAGAAUAUCUAUUUGGGAAAUGUGUUGCCUUUUAUUCUUUAUACUUAGAAAAUAAAAUAGAAUGGCAGAAAUUCCAUGUUGUCCAGUGA